CAUGUAACCUGAACAGAUGAGGCUCUGGAAGGAAGCAGGCUGUGCAUUCCCUGACAGCCCUUUCCCUGAGGGGAUGAAGCAGAAAGGUGAAGGAAACAUCCCAUGGAAAGCCAUCUCCAAGCUCCUCAGAUUGGGAAAACACAUAUCGAAAUCAGGAGGCCAGAUUGAAUUAGCCUCUCCACUCUCAGGCUCCUUUGCCACUUGCUCCAUCCAGGGCUCAUCCUGGGCUUCUCUGUCUGCUCCCUCCCCUGCUGGACUCUGCUGAAGCCAAACCACAGGGUGUGAGUCAGGCUUUCCCAGGGCCGACCUAUGCAACCUGGAAGUGCAGGGCUUAGCUGCCCAUGGGACAAACCUUGACUUACAGGACACAAAAGAUACAAGGGAGCUAGCAAAUAAAUCGCCUCUCCACUCUUCCCUCCAGUGGAUGGUUCUGAAGCAUGAUAUUCCUGUGUAACCUGUCUAGAUUCAUCCUGUGGAGUCAAGCACCUAGCUGUGUGCCUUGUGAAACAGCAGCCGGUUCAAAAAGCCACCUUCUCUACCUCCUUUCUCUUUCCCUUCAUUCUGGCUUCCCUGGGAUUGUACCUCUUAAUAAAAUUUUAACACUUAA
Molecule: long non-coding RNA, 607 nt
Filed under: Homo sapiens (human)
Lineage: Eukaryota; Metazoa; Chordata; Mammalia; Primates; Hominidae
Description: HSALNT0345896
Source: RNAcentral